RNAcentral lists this ribosomal RNA (440 nucleotides) under uncultured bacterium. Its description in RNAcentral is "partial 16S ribosomal RNA". It matches the Rfam family "Bacterial small subunit ribosomal RNA", at positions 338 to 795 of the family's 1533-position model. The record is from RNAcentral.
CCUACGGGAGGCAGCAGUGGGGAAUAUUGCACAAUGGGCGAAACGCUGAUGCAGCGACGCCGCGUGAGUGAUGAAGUACCUAGGUGUGUAAAGCCCUAUCAGCAGGGAAGAAAAUGACGGUACCUGAUUAAGCACCCCCGGCUAACUACGUGACAGCAGCCCCGGCAACACGCAGGGGGCCAGCGUUAUACGGAUUUACUGGGUGUAAAGGGAGCGUAGACGGCAGCGCAAGUCUGAAGUGAAAUGCCGGGGCUUAACCCCGGAACUGCUUUUGAAACUGCGCAGCUAGAGUGCAGGAGAGGUAAGUGGAAUUCGUAGUGUAGCGGUGAAAUGCGUAGAUAUUAGGCGGAACACCAGUGGCGAAGGCGGCGUACUGGACUGUAACUGACGUUGAGGCUCGAAAGCGUGGGGAGCAAACAGGAUUAGAUACCCGGGUAGUC